Molecule: long non-coding RNA, 1256 nt
Organism: Acanthochromis polyacanthus (spiny chromis)
Lineage: Eukaryota; Metazoa; Chordata; Actinopteri; Pomacentridae
Exons: 2
Source: RefSeq, a predicted model, not a curated record
CACUCAGUCAGGGGAAGGAAUAAAAUUCAAGACUUUUGGGAUUCAACCCCCUAUCAGGUAGUCUGUCCCCCACCCCUAAGAGGCGUUGUUUACUCUGUAGUUCCUGUAGGGCAAGAGGGCCCCCUCCGCCAAGUGCAUAGGACAGAGUUGAGGAGUGUCCCAGAACGUAGGGCAGAGGAUAAUAACGUUCAAGGGAUACCGACUGAGCUAUUAGAGGCAGAUCUGUCCAAACCAGAGGAUGAAUUAGGGUUAGACAGUGACGCUAUGGUUUCUACUGUGAAUGAGGAUCAAGGGUUGUCUGACAUUCAGCAUCUCCCUGGCCGAGAUCCCACUAAGGAAACUGGCACCACCUUAGUUUCUGAGCCUCGGAGGUCAGUUAGAAAAACAGCAGGACAACAUUCGAAUUUACAUAGACUGCCACAGUCCGCAUGUGUUAAUAAAGCGGCAGUAUAAUUUUUAUGACUUUUGUUUUAAAGUCGUCGGGUCGACGAUUCUCCUUGUUGGGGAGGGAUGUAAGGGGUGACACCAGGGGGUGUCGCUGUGGUCCCACAGGUAGAACCCUGAUAAAUAGGAAGUGGGUAGCCCAGCCCCUCGUGUGGUGCUAGUUUCUGUGGGGAGCCAGGCUGUUUGCUGGACCCACGCUGUGUUGGUCGCGUUUGAAGCGUUGGGUGAGUGGUAGGAGAAUAUUACGCCAUUUUGGAAGUGUGAAAGAGUGAUAGUGGUGUGCAGGUCUUAAUUGUGUUUUGUGAUAGGACCAAAUGCGGUUUUAAGCCAAGUGAUGGUGAGGACCCGUGGUGGUGAUUGAAGCUGUGUGUGAGGCGUUCAUGACAUGCAGCACUGUCCAUUGUCACCUGCUGUCCUUGUUAGUGUUUUUUUGCUUUUGUUAGUCCGUCCCCUAGGGAGGUUAAAUUGUAUAUUCAGCCUCUGUGUUUGUGUGUACGGACGGACUGACUUAUUAAUCUUAAAUGUUUUUUGUUUGUCUUGGUCACUUCCCCUAACCCUGCGCGGCCAAGUUAACCCUGUAAGACCCGAUCGUGUGAGGUGUUGAGUGUACAUUGCAGUGAAUUGCUGUGCUUUUUGUAAAUCGUCACAUAUUGAGUGGUUUGCAGUGGUUUUCUUUUGCGGAUUUGUUCCGCCUGAUUAUACACGUUUGCUGUGUCUUCGGGUCCCUUAAAGUUAUCUCUGGUACAAGUAGUUAUAGAAAAAGUUUGACCAGCCCUUUUCUAUGUAUAAUAAAUAAAGAAAUAUAUGCUACA